Small nucleolar RNA from Macaca fascicularis (crab-eating macaque), 101 nucleotides. Lineage: Eukaryota; Metazoa; Chordata; Mammalia; Primates; Cercopithecidae. The record is from Ensembl.
GUCCUAUUUUAAUUCCUAAGUAUGAUUGGGUUUUCACACGCAUAGGUAACAUGCGCAUCCCUCAAACCUUGUGGUGAUGUCAGCACGGUAUCCGUCUGAUG